AAACUGUUGUAUUUUGAAGUUUGUAAAUUAUAUAAGCCUCGACUCGUUUUUCCUAUAAAAUAGUCUUACAAUGUGUAAUGACUCGACCCUACAGUACAUACACUGCUAAUCCACUAACAUUUACCAUUCCUGUCACCAUCGAAUCACUUUCAAUGAGUUGAUACAAUUUACAAACUUCAAAAUACAACAGUUUGGCACCAAGAGAAUGCAAGUUCAUCAAUGAAUCAAUCGAAGUUAUUAACAACAGUUGGCGAGUCACAAGAUCCACCCGGACUUCUCAAGUAUACAGCGCAAAAGCCAUUUUAGUGAUGAAAAAGAGUAUCCUGGCCACAGGAUAUCAUUCCUGGAAGGGUCUAUGCAGCAAGAAUUAGAUUGGGAAUUUUGAAAUACAACUACCUGGUAAGGCUUUAAUUAGUUAGUGGAUAUUAGUUGAUAGAUCCCGUUUGAUCAAUCAGUGUGCCAACUUGCUCUCCACAUAAAGCUUUUGAGAUGUUUCCAGGCUCAAGAAGGUUAAAGAUCACAACAGGANUACCAUUCUCUUCACAGCAGGUCAGUGCCAUCAUGUCCAUUGAUGUGGCACCUCUGGAGACCAAGUCCCGAAAGCAAAUAUGCUCGAAAGUAACAUUGUUGUCUCGGGAAUGGCAGUCAUAGACACCAUCAACAUUAGUACCUUUCAUUACUGCCUCAGCAUGAAUCUCUAAAGCUUGAAGAGCUGCAGCAGUGUCUGUGGAAAAGUGUGGAUUUCCAGUGCCAGCACCAAUGCCACCAAAUAUCACAACUCGGCCUUUCUCAAGAUGCCGAAUGGCCCGCUGCCUAUUGUAUGGUUCAGCAACCUCCUGCAUUGCAAAUGCAGUCUGCACACGUGUUUGAACACCCACCUUCUCUAAUGCUGACUGGAGUAAUAUAGAAUUCAUCACACUUGCCAUCAUACCUAUUUGGUAGGCAAUACAUCUAUCAGAACCUGUUUCGGUCACCCACGUGUUUCCACAAAAGAAAUUACGACCUCCAACAACAAUUGCAACCUCUACACCAAGGCGGCAAGCAAUUGCAACUUCUCUUGCAAUCAGCACCAUCACCUU
This 1079-nucleotide unclassified non-coding RNA is filed under the name Hevea brasiliensis (rubber tree). Lineage: Eukaryota; Viridiplantae; Streptophyta; Magnoliopsida; Malpighiales; Euphorbiaceae. The record is from RNAcentral.